Molecule: ribosomal RNA, 468 nt
Filed under: uncultured bacterium
Lineage: Bacteria
Description: partial 16S ribosomal RNA
Rfam family: Bacterial small subunit ribosomal RNA
Source: RNAcentral
GACGAACGCUGGCGGCGUGCUUAACACAUGCAAGUCGAACGGAAAGGCCCUGCUUUUGUGGGGUGCUCGAGUGGCGAACGGGUGAGUAACACGUGAGUAACCUGCCCUUGACUUUGGGAUAACUUCAGGAAACUGGGGCUAAUACCGGAUAGGAGCUCCUGCUGCAUGGUGGGGGUUGGAAAGUUUCGGCGGUUGGGGAUGGACUAGCGGCUUAUCAGCUUGUUGGGGGGGUAGUUGCUUACCAAGGCUUUGACGGGUAGCCGGCCUGAGAGGGUGACCGGGCACAUUGGGACUGCGAUACGGCCCAGACGCCUACGGGAGGCAGCAGUGGGGAAUAUUGCACAAUGGGCGGAAGCCUGAUGCAGCAACGCCGCGUGCGGGAUGACGGCCUUCGGGUUGUAAACCGAUUUCGCCUGUGACGAGGCGUGAGUGACGGUAAUGGGUAAAGAAGCACCGGCUAACUACGUG